Shewanella oneidensis MR-1 is the source of this 72-nucleotide non-coding RNA. Lineage: Bacteria; Pseudomonadati; Pseudomonadota; Gammaproteobacteria; Alteromonadales; Shewanellaceae. The record is from Rfam.
AAGCGAAACCCGCCCCAUUCAUGGGGCGCGGUCUGUCUAAUGUAGUGAUUAGGCACUGAUGAGCAGCUAACC